Nelumbo nucifera (sacred lotus) is the source of this 88-nucleotide non-coding RNA. The record is from Rfam. Lineage: Eukaryota; Viridiplantae; Streptophyta; Magnoliopsida; Proteales; Nelumbonaceae.
ACGAGGUGACUGAUGAAAUUCAUGGUUUGUCAAUCCACUGAAAUUAUUAGUGUGAUGUUAAUCAUGAAUCCCAACAUGUUCUGAUUGU